UUGGAUAUCAAAAUUUAUUUUAAAAUAUUAUUAGAUUGGAUUUAGGUUGCUAUAGAUCCACACAUAAAAUCCGAAACACGAUCCAAUGAUCUGUAUGCAUACAAGCUGGAAGAUAAGGGCAUGAUAUUAAGCUUGCCACGAAUAAACUAGUACUCCAGGCAACCUCAUGCAUAAGCCCUAAGUCUCACUAGUGAUUCGAUGAGUUGAAUCCUUGAGGCACUGAAAGUAAUAAAUAAGAUCAGGGGCAGAUGUCUUAUCCCUGUUAGAUAUUCUAUUUGGGAUGCUAAAGUAGUAGAGAAUACGGGCACUUAAGGAUUUGACCUUUGACCAAUGAUUUUGUAAUGAGAUGGUGUUUUGUUGAGGAAUACAUAGCAAUAGUGGGCAGUACGUAAAAGAAAAGGAAGAGAGUGAAAAAAGAUAAGCCAUGAUCUCUUU
RNAcentral lists this long non-coding RNA (435 nucleotides) under Phoenix dactylifera (date palm). Its description in RNAcentral is "long non-coding RNA (PDAC_LNC010580)". Lineage: Eukaryota; Viridiplantae; Streptophyta; Magnoliopsida; Arecales; Arecaceae. The record is from RNAcentral.